GGGAAGGAUUGGGGGGAAUUGUAAAUUAUUCCACUUCAGUAUCCUACUUUCAAUCCCUUUAAAAAAAAGAAUUACAUUUAGUCCACAUAAUGGGGAAAACUGAGAGAUUUAAAUAAAGGAUCAACAUCCAAACUUACAAUAUCAAAAACUUAAUCCAUGAAUUUAUCUAGAGGCCACAAUGAGUGAAAUUAUGAAAUGACAGCCACAGCUUCACUCAACAUGAAGCAACUCAGAAAAUUAUUAUUAUUGUGUCACUGUUAUUUUAGAUCUCCAAACUUGGCUUAGAUAGAUUCUGGGGUAAUUUUAUUUUCCUGUAAGAUGUGCAUUCACUUAGUCCUUUUCCACUAGAAUCUUUUUCCUUUUGGCUAAUUGUACGUCUAAUUAGCAGUUCUUCAAAAGAUAAUGCAAAGGCCUAAUAAAACGUUAUCUUGUUUUGCUUAGAGGACGGUAUCUUUUACUCUAAUUAUUUGCUUGUUUUCCCUCUCUAAUAAAUUCUGUGUUAUCCACUGAAAGAACCAAAGAGAAAAUUAUUUUUUGGCAAAUGGGAAGAAAUAAUUUGUAAAAGAAACUAAACAACAUAGAAAAAUGGGUAUUGUUCUCUACCAGAAUAAUCCAUGAAAUUGCAUAUGCGAGUGAGGAAAUGUUCUAAAAAAUACUGUUAAUGCAACAUGUCACAAGUAUUAAUUUAAUUAAUUUUAGAAAAAAAGACUCCUAAAUGUUAGAAAAAAUAAUGAAAAAGAUGUGAUUCAGUUGCAAACUAAUUGAAACAAAUCAAAGCUAAUCAAACAAACAACUAGAAACGAUAAAGAAAGAAAAAGAAUCACAAAAGAAUCCAUAUUGAACCAAGAUUAAAGAAAGAAGAAAAAGAAAAUAUUAAAACUGUAUUUCCAGUAAUCAAAGAUAUACCCAAGAGGAUAAACAUUUCC
Molecule: unclassified non-coding RNA, 926 nt
Filed under: Hevea brasiliensis (rubber tree)
Lineage: Eukaryota; Viridiplantae; Streptophyta; Magnoliopsida; Malpighiales; Euphorbiaceae
Source: RNAcentral